AUGGGAUGUGGGAUUGAGACAGUGCUCAUAGCAACCCGCAACAAGGCAAAGGAUUCCCAUCCAGACUUGCAGGGAGCGGAGGUGGUCACAAAUGUGGACGUUGGCUCCAUAGGAGUCUCAACAAUGCGCUCAUCAGUAAGAGCAGCGCGAGCAAGAAGAUGCUGGAUAUACUUCUCUUGGGAAAUAAAAAAAGCCAUUAAAGGUAGAAGAAACCUCAAUCUCAAGAAAGUAGCGAAGAGGACCAAGAUCAGACAUAAGAAACUCACUAUGACGAGCCUUCACAAAGGCAAUGUACUUAGAAUCAUCGUCGGUGAUGAUCGGCAUAUAGUAGAAGAGUUCGCCCACGAGUUGAAAGGUAGACAAAAAGUGCACAUCAUGAGCACUCGUUGA
RNAcentral lists this ribosomal RNA (390 nucleotides) under Triticum aestivum (bread wheat). RNAcentral describes it as "partial small subunit ribosomal RNA". The record is from RNAcentral. Lineage: Eukaryota; Viridiplantae; Streptophyta; Magnoliopsida; Poales; Poaceae.